CCUACGGGAGGCAGCAGCAAGGAAUUUUGCGCAAUGGGCGAAAGCCUGACGCAGCAACGCCGCGUGGGGGAAGAAGGCCUUCGGGUUGUAAACCCCUUUUCUCGGGGAAGAGGCUGACGGUACCCGAGGAAAAAGCCUCGGCUAACUACGUGCCAGCAGCCGCGGUAAUACGUAGGAGGCGAGCGUUAUCCGGAUUCACUGGGCGUAAAGAGCGCGCGGGCGGCUUUCCAAGUCCGGGGUGAAAUCUCUCGGCCCAACCGGGAGGGGUCUCUGGAUACUGGAGGGCUUGAGGGCAGCAGAGGGAGGUGGAAUUCCCGGUGUAGCGGUAAAAUGCGUAGAUACCGGGAGGAACACCGGUGGCGAAGGCGGCCUCCUGGGCUGUUCCUGACGCUGAGGCGCAAAAGCGUGGGGAGCAAACGGGAUUAGAUCCCCCUGUAGU
RNAcentral lists this ribosomal RNA (439 nucleotides) under uncultured Dehalococcoidia bacterium. Its description in RNAcentral is "partial 16S ribosomal RNA". It matches the Rfam family "Bacterial small subunit ribosomal RNA", at positions 338 to 794 of the family's 1533-position model. Lineage: Bacteria; Bacillati; Chloroflexota; Dehalococcoidia. The record is from RNAcentral.